Molecule: non-coding RNA, 1941 nt
Organism: Petromyzon marinus (sea lamprey)
Lineage: Eukaryota; Metazoa; Chordata; Hyperoartia; Petromyzontiformes; Petromyzontidae
Source: RefSeq, a predicted model, not a curated record
GUCGACCCCUGCAUCGCUCGGGUGACCUGCACGCCUCCUCCUCCUCCUCCCCCUCCGCCGUGCUGCUGCUGCUGCUGCCCGCAAGGCUGCCCGGCCAGCAAGGUGUUGCCCAGAUGCAGGCUCGUGCUGCUCCACUGAUGCGCGCGUCUUCCCGACUCCUUGCAGCUCAAGUCGUCUUGGCUCGGGUUGUUGCAGUCACCGAUGUCUUCCUCGGAAGCGCCGCUGCUGUUGCUGUCUCCCGCAUAGCCAGCAGCAGCUGCCGCAGCAGCGGCCACGGACUGCAGCUGUAGCGUGGUGAAGUAUGGUCAAACCCUCACCCCGCCUCACGACAGACACGGGGCAUGGGGGAGGUCUUCAUCCAGCAGCGGACUGAAAAGGUAACAUUUUUAUUAUGAUCUCAGUAAACACCACGUGUAUUAAACCGUAUAUCUCUCUCGCCGACUUCAGCUUUUUUCUUGCUGUGAUUGUUCCACCUGAUGAAGAUUGCUUGUGUUGCGAUCGAAACGUCGUGACUUGUUUUUAUUUUAUUUCUACCUACGCGACUUUACCGAAAGAAUCAAAGAGUAUGCAUAUGUUUAACAUUGCACAUGCAUUGCCUUUGCAUGUAGACAUGUGUACAGCACUCUUACAGUCAUGUGGGUUUUAAAUCAGAAUAUAUGAUCUGUUGUUUGUGGCAAUACCGAAUACGUAAAAACAUUGCACGGUUUUAGUAAAGCCCAUAUAACCCCCGCCGUAAAAAAAUCCAACAAAGGAAUUUGAAGAAGCUGCAUACGGGUCAUACUAUUCAAACACGCGUCUGUGCUAUGAAUGCAAAUCCUCUUCACUAAACAGUUCGAUACCACGUAUAUACGUGUUGUGCGGUUAUAAUAAUAAUAAUAACCGUCAUGUCGUAUAAUCUUAUUAUGCUCCUGUUGUAAAGAAAAUAUAAUUUAAUCCCUUUGUCAUUCCACUGCUGUAUAAAGUCAUCUGCGCAUCCUAUCAAUAAUUCAUUUUAACGAUAGAAUGCUUUAAAGAUUUGUUUAAUAUUUUAUAAACUACAUAGGUGUGUGCACUUAUUUUGAACAAUGUAAUUUUUGCAAACAACAAAUAUUAAACCCAUUACAAUGUUAUCACCAUCAUCAUCGGACAUGAUCGAUCCGCUUCUGGAUGAAGGAAUCCCCAAGUCAACACCACAUCUGACGAUCCUGCCAUGUCAUAACCCAACCUCGAACCUGCACAUGAACUGAUUUAAUCGCUCCAUCUCCACGAUGGACGUUCUCUCUACGUAUAUCAUCUAGACGGGUGUUAUUCACUGCAAGGACCGCGGGCCACUGGUGGACCCCAGGUGGCCUUCAGUCCGGCCUCUGACGUGAAAACACCCCCCCCAUCAUGCUGUCAAACCCCCCCGUGGUUUCAAAUGUGUGGCGGCCCUCGCACUGAUGCCUUAUCGGCGAAAAUGCCCCCGCCCCCUCGCCACCCGCCUCUGAAAAUCAGUGAAGAACCCUGAUCUAGACACGAUAAAAUUCCAGUUGGUGGGACUGUUGCAGAAGGGCUAUAAAACUAUGGCCGAAAAGAUGUAUGCAUUACUCGAUGUAAAUGAAAACUCGCGGCGUAAGAACUCUGUGUGCCUUGACCACAUUUCACGGCCAUAAUUUCACACGUUGGCCUUCUGUGACCCUGCCGAAAAUCAGCCUUCUCUUUGCUCGCACACCGAUAGACGAUACAUAUUACAGCGCAGUACAAGGAGAAGCGUGGCCGAGCGUGGAAUGGGCUCCACAAAAGCGAUGCAUUCUCCAGGUGUACCGUAGUGCCUCUACAGUACGACAGCUGCGGAUAAAUUGUGGAAAAAAAUGUGUACACGAUAACCUGUUUAGUUACACGUGAAACACGCGGGUUAAUGUAUAAUAAUGUACCAUAAAUCUUCUAAAUGACAUUUAAUUAUAUGUGUACAGUGAGGGAAAA